GAAUAUGUGUGUGUGUGUGUGUGUGUGUGUGUGUGUGUGUGUGUGUGUGUGUGUGUGUUGUGUGUGUAAUUCACCGUGGUGGUGAAUUACACACACACACACACACACACACACACACACACACACACACACACACACACACACAUGUGUGUGUGUGUGUGUGUGUGUGUGUGUGACACACGUGGUGGUGAACACACACACACACACACACACACACACACACACACAC
Molecule: small nucleolar RNA, 229 nt
Organism: Portunus trituberculatus (swimming crab)
Lineage: Eukaryota; Metazoa; Arthropoda; Malacostraca; Decapoda; Portunidae
Product: small nucleolar RNA SNORA23
Exons: 1
Source: RefSeq, a predicted model, not a curated record